UACGUAGGUCCCGAGCGUUGUCCGGAUUUAUUAGGCGUAAAGCGAGCGCAGGUGGUUUAUUAAGUCUGGUGUAGAAGGCAGUGGCUCAACCAUUGUAUGCAUUGGAAACUGGUAGACUUGAGUGCAGGAGAGGAGAGUGGAAUUCCAUGUGUAGCGGUGAAAUGCGUAGAUAUAUGGAGGAACACCGGUGGCGAAAGCGGCUCUCUGGCCUGUAACUGACACUGAGGCUCGAAAGCGUGGGGAGCAAACAGG
Molecule: ribosomal RNA, 252 nt
Filed under: uncultured bacterium
Lineage: Bacteria
Description: partial 16S ribosomal RNA
Rfam family: Bacterial small subunit ribosomal RNA
Source: RNAcentral